RNAcentral lists this transfer-messenger RNA (329 nucleotides) under bacterium. Its description in RNAcentral is "UBA6624 sp002716355 Standard tmRNA". It matches the Rfam family "transfer-messenger RNA". Rfam says of the family: Bacterial tmRNA, also known as 10Sa RNA or SsrA, is named for its dual tRNA and mRNA-like properties. Its role is to liberate the mRNA from a stalled ribosome. To accomplish this part of the tmRNA is used as a reading frame that ends in a translation stop signal. The record is from RNAcentral. RNAcentral also lists the same sequence under 1 other name.
GGGGGCGACUGGCUUCGACGGAAGUUGGAACAGUCGGGUUGCAAGCAGGUUUGUCAUAUCCCUUGAUUGUGACAAAAAAAGUAAACGGCAAAAACGCUUACGCAUUUGCUUAAUUUAAUUUAAGCAAGCUCCUCCUUUCAAGUCCAUGUGAGAAAGGGUAGGGGCUCAGAAAUCAUGGAACGGCUCCCGGACCGUUAUUCGGGGUUUUUGCUUUGAGGCCUGCCGUUUGAUUGUUUAGGGUAGGUUGAGCAUUUAAAACAAUCUAAGCUUGUAGACACUCGUCUCAAUAAGACAACCGGACCCGGGUUCAAUUCCCGGCGCCUCCACCA